Molecule: ribosomal RNA, 292 nt
Filed under: uncultured bacterium
Lineage: Bacteria
Description: partial 16S ribosomal RNA
Rfam family: Bacterial small subunit ribosomal RNA
Source: RNAcentral
GUGUCAGCAGCCGCGGUAAUACGUAGGUGGCGAGCGUUGUCCGGAUUUACUGGGCGUAAAGAGCCCGCAGGCGGUCCGUUAAGUUUCAGGUGAAAUCUCCCGGCUCAACCGGGAGGGUGCCUGGAAAACUGGCGGACUUGAGGCAGGGAGAGGGAUGUGGAAUUCCCGGUGUAGUAGUGAAAUGCGUAGAUAUCGGGAGGAACACCAGUGGCGAAGGCGGCAUCCUGGCCCUGUCCUGACGCUCAGGGGCGAAAGCGUGGGGAGCAAACCGGAUUAGAAACCCCCGUAGUCC